GACGAACGCUGGCGGCGUGCUUAACACAUGCAAGUCGAGCGGUAAGGCCCUUCGGGGUACACGAGCGGCGAACGGGUGAGUAACACGUGGGUGACCUGCCCUUAGCUCUGGGAUAAGCCUGGGAAACUGGGUCUAAUACCGGAUAUGACCUCAUGACGCAUGUUGUGGGGUGGAAAGCCUUGUGCGGCUAGGGAUGGGCCCGCGGCCUAUCAGCUUGUUGGUGGGGUGANGGCCUACCAAGGCGACGACGGGUAGCCGGCCUGAGAGGGUGACCGGCCACACUGGGACUGAGACACGGCCCAGACUCCUACGGGAGGCAGCAGUGGGGAAUAUUGCGCAAUGGGCGGAAG
RNAcentral lists this ribosomal RNA (350 nucleotides) under uncultured bacterium. RNAcentral describes it as "bacterial SSU rRNA". It matches the Rfam family "Bacterial small subunit ribosomal RNA", at positions 28 to 381 of the family's 1533-position model. The record is from RNAcentral.